AAAAAAAGAAUGUGCAGAUCCGAGCGGCAACCAUGUUGGACUUCUUCUAAACUGUCGUGUUACGCGAGUGAUUUUUUACCUAAAUUUAUUUGGGUUUAUUAUUGAGCCUGAGUGAUAAAGUGAUUAGAUCCAAUUUCUAUAGCCAGAUGAUAGAUACGCAGCAAUUUCCUAAUGUUUGCCAAUGGGCUGUCAGAUAAAAUUCAAGAAAACCAGUUAUCUCGGCCUUCAACUGGUAGAAUAGAAGACAUGCAAUAGUUUUAUCGCAAUUUAAUAUCCAAUAAAAUUUAAAAUAAAAAUGAUUGAAUAAAAACAAAAGUUCAUAUAAAGGCAUGUUUUUAUUUCGAUGAAAAAUCCAUUAAUGCCCCGUCCACACUAACAGUAAAGGUUACAGUACUAUGCAAAUUAUUUAUUCAUGGUCAUACUGUACGUACAUUGUUACCCAUAUAGUUGUUUGCUUGGAACAAGGAUUAUACAACACCUGCAAGACAUAAUGUACUC
This is a long non-coding RNA of Armigeres subalbatus, 498 nucleotides long. RefSeq lists it as uncharacterized. The transcript has 3 exons. Lineage: Eukaryota; Metazoa; Arthropoda; Insecta; Diptera; Culicidae. The record is from RefSeq and is a predicted model, not a curated record.